This 85-nucleotide transfer RNA is filed under the name Phycisphaerae bacterium. Its description in RNAcentral is "tRNA-Ser". It matches the Rfam family "tRNA". Rfam says of the family: Transfer RNA (tRNA) molecules are approximately 80 nucleotides in length. Their secondary structure includes four short double-helical elements and three loops (D, anti-codon, and T loops). The record is from RNAcentral. Lineage: Bacteria; Pseudomonadati; Planctomycetota; Phycisphaerae.
GGAGAGGUGGCCGAGCGGCUGAAGGCGCCGGUCUUGAAAACCGGUUGGGGCAACACCCACGUGGGUUCGAAUCCCACCCUCUCCG